Molecule: long non-coding RNA, 254 nt
Filed under: Spirodela polyrhiza (greater duckweed)
Lineage: Eukaryota; Viridiplantae; Streptophyta; Magnoliopsida; Alismatales; Araceae
Description: long non-coding RNA (SPOL_LNC001367)
Source: RNAcentral
GGGGGGCUAUUGAGCUAAUGGUUAAUUAAUAUAUUUUAAUUUUUUGCCUUCUUUGGCAAGUUGUUCAAGUACCUCUUCAUACUUGCAGUUUUAUAUUGCCCUUCAAUUUAACCAUUAUUCCCAUAUCAUAUAAUGCAUAUUAUUUCAUUAUACAUAAUUUUGAUGACAUUGGAUAUUCAAUGUCAUAUUUUUCUACGUUUGAACUGAUCUGAUUACACAUUUGCUAAUUUUGCCAAAUUUAGAAAGUAUUCAUC